GCUUAACGCGAAGAACCUUACCAGCCCUUGACAUGGCAGGACGAUUUCCGGAGACGGAUCUCUUCACUUCGGUGACCUGCACACAGGUGCUGCAUGGCUGUCGUCAGCUCGUGUCGUGAGAUGUUGGGUUAAGUCCCGCAACGAGCGCAACCCUCGCCUCUAGUUGCCAUCAUUAAGUUGGGCACUCUAGAGGGACUGCCGGUGAUAAGCCGGAGGAAGGUGGGGAUGACGUCAAGUCCUCAUGGCCCUUACGGGCUGGGCUACACACGUGCUACAAUGGUGGUGACAGAGGGCAGCUACUCCGCGAGGGGAAGCUAAUCUCACAAACCGAUCGUAGUCCGGAUCGCAGUCUGCAACUCGACUGCGUGAAGUCGGAAUCGCUAGUAAUCGUGAAUCAGAAUGUCACGGUGAAUACGUUCCCGGGUCUUGUACACACCG
Molecule: ribosomal RNA, 438 nt
Filed under: uncultured bacterium
Lineage: Bacteria
Description: bacterial SSU rRNA
Rfam family: Bacterial small subunit ribosomal RNA
Source: RNAcentral